This 368-nucleotide unclassified non-coding RNA is filed under the name Hevea brasiliensis (rubber tree). The record is from RNAcentral. Lineage: Eukaryota; Viridiplantae; Streptophyta; Magnoliopsida; Malpighiales; Euphorbiaceae.
GCCAAAAACUUGCAGAGGUUAAUGAAGAAUUGAGAUCGAAGAUAAUGGAGAGAGACUGCAAGGAGGAAAAUUUGACGGUUGAGCUAAAGACUCUGCAUGGACAGCUCUUAGAUUUGCAAGUGGAUUACCAGAAUUUACGGAAAGAGAAAUGCAAGGUGGUUGAUGAGCAAAGAUUGCUAAUGAAAUCAAUCUCAGACUUGGGAGAAGAGAAAUGUAAUUUAGAAGAAGAGAACUGUGCCAUUUUUGCUGAGACAGUGUCUCUAAGUACAAUUUCUCUGAUUUUCAGGGAUAUUAUUGUUGAAAAAUUUUUGGAUAUAAAGGAGCUUAGUGAAAAUCUGGAUACACUUCAUGAUGUCAAUAAUGGCCUU